UACGUAGGGGGCAAGCGUUGUCCGGAUUUAUUGGGCGUAAAGAGCGUGUAGGCGGCCAUACAGGUCAGCUGUGAAAACUCGAGGCUCAACCUCGAGACGUCGGUUGAAACCGUAUGGCUAGAGUCCGGAAGAGGAGAGUGGAAUUCCCGGUGUAGCGGUGAAAUGCGCAGAUAUCGGGAGGAACACCGAUGGCGAAGGCAGGUCUCUGGGCCAUUACUGACGCUGAGGAGCGAAAGCGUGGGGAGCGAACAGG
This 253-nucleotide ribosomal RNA is filed under the name uncultured bacterium. RNAcentral's name for it is "partial 16S ribosomal RNA". It matches the Rfam family "Bacterial small subunit ribosomal RNA", at positions 524 to 776 of the family's 1533-position model. The record is from RNAcentral.